Molecule: long non-coding RNA, 365 nt
Organism: Homo sapiens (human)
Lineage: Eukaryota; Metazoa; Chordata; Mammalia; Primates; Hominidae
Exons: 2
Source: RefSeq, marked validated
CUCUUUCUACUGCUUCACAACAGUUCACAAGCCACAACACUUCCAGCAUUAAUUCUUCUUCAACAAACCAGAAGACUCAUUAGGAUCCAUAAUAGCUGCCAGUGUAGAGGAGCCUCAGUUACUUUCACUUUGAUCAUUAUCCCUGGGAGAAGAAGCCAACAGCUCCUGGUGACCACAAUAAGAGAUUUCAUUUUUACCUCUUACGAAGAGCUCAGUGGAACAUUUCUCAUCACCGGCUGUCACAUAAUACUCUGAAUCAUCUGUCAUCUGACAGUUAUUGAUAAACAGGAUUCUCUGGCAUCCUUUGUGUUCAAAGAUGUAUCUGUUUUGAAUAGGAUGAAAAUAAACAGAGUCUGUGAAUGUGA